GACGAAGGAUACCUUCAGAAAAUUUGACAACUUUCAUCGGUUUUGAAGAGUUUCUUCCUAUUUCUGGAUUGAAGAUGGCAACGACAUGCAUGGCCGCGUAUAAUGGACGAGCUUUGGAUUCCUCCGCAUCUGAUCUGUACUACCCACCCAUUGCGAUUGAACUCCGUAUCAGUUCCUGACCAUGCCAUGACAUGGCCAUGUUCAUUCAAACAGCCCAACCCCCACUCUGAACCUUUCUAAAUAGUCCAUGGUGUGGAGUACAUGUA
Molecule: long non-coding RNA, 266 nt
Organism: Patiria miniata (bat star)
Lineage: Eukaryota; Metazoa; Echinodermata; Asteroidea; Valvatida; Asterinidae
Exons: 2
Source: RefSeq, a predicted model, not a curated record